GGAGAGGUGGCCGAGCGGCUGAAGGCGACCGUCUCGAAAACGGUUAGGGCUUACCACCCUCGCGAGUUCGAAUCUCGCCCUCUCCGCCA
RNAcentral lists this transfer RNA (89 nucleotides) under Chloroflexota bacterium. Its description in RNAcentral is "Chloroflexi bacterium (sediment metagenome) tRNA-Ser". It matches the Rfam family "tRNA". Rfam says of the family: Transfer RNA (tRNA) molecules are approximately 80 nucleotides in length. Their secondary structure includes four short double-helical elements and three loops (D, anti-codon, and T loops). Further hydrogen bonds mediate the characteristic L-shaped molecular structure. tRNAs have two regions of fundamental functional importance: the anti-codon, which is responsible for specific mRNA codon recognition, and the 3' end, to which the tRNAs corresponding amino acid is attached (by aminoacyl-tRNA synthetases). tRNAs cope with the degeneracy of the genetic code in two manners: having more than one tRNA (with a specific anti-codon) for a particular amino acid; and 'wobble' base-pairing, i.e. permitting non-standard base-pairing at the 3rd anti-codon position. Lineage: Bacteria; Bacillati; Chloroflexota. The record is from RNAcentral.